AGAGAACCCACUAGGGGAUGAGCCCGAACUAGGGAUGUGACACAGCGCGAGACCCAGCCUAGAGAGAGCCCGGAGCCAGUGUGGGAGGCGGCUGCCGUCGCGCGGCUUGGUCGUGCUGCGGUUGUCCCAUUGGGGACUUGGCGGCGACUGUCCCUGUGCUGGUUUGCAGUGUGUGGGUUCAUUCACCUGGUGAUCGAGGGCUGGUUCAUUCUCUACUACGAAGACCUGCUUGGAGACCAAGCCUUCUUAUCUCAACUCUGGAAAGAGUAUGCCAAAGGAGACAGCCGAUACAUCCUGGGUGACAACUUCACAGUGUGCAUGGAAACCAUCACAGCUUGCCUGUGGGGACCACUCAGCCUGUGGGUGGUCAUCGCCUUUCUCCGCCAGCAUCCCCUCCGCUUCAUUCUACAGCUUGUGGUCUCUGUGGGCCAGAUCUAUGGGGAUGUGCUCUACUUCCUGACAGAGCACCGCGACGGAUUCCAGCACGGGGAGCUGGGCCACCCUCUCUACUUCUGGUUUUACUUUGUCUUCAUGAAUGCCCUGUGGCUGGUGCUGCCUGGAGUCCUUGUGCUUGAUGCUGUGAAGCACCUCACUCAUGCCCAGAGCACGCUGGAUGCCAAGGCCAGAAAAGCCAAGAGCAAGAAGAACUGAGGAGUGGUGGACUGGGCUCGAACACUGGCCGAGGAGGAGCUCUCUGCCUGCCAGAAGAGUCUAGUCCUGCUCCCACAGUUUGGAGGGACAAAGCUAAUUGAUCUGUCACACUCAGGCUCAUGGGUGGGCACAAGAAGGGGAAUAAAGGGGCCGUGUGAAGGCACUGCUGGGAGCCGUUAGAACACAGAUACAAGAGAAGCCAGAAGAUCUAUAAUGGUGACAGUUUUUUAAAUCAGGAAAUAAAAGAUCUUGA
This 904-nucleotide small RNA is filed under the name Pongo abelii (Sumatran orangutan). Its description in RNAcentral is "processed transcript". Lineage: Eukaryota; Metazoa; Chordata; Mammalia; Primates; Hominidae. The record is from RNAcentral.